Molecule: ribosomal RNA, 450 nt
Filed under: uncultured bacterium
Lineage: Bacteria
Description: partial 16S ribosomal RNA
Rfam family: Bacterial small subunit ribosomal RNA
Source: RNAcentral
CCUACGGGUGGCAGCAGUAAGGAAUAUUGGUCAAUGGACGAAAGUCUGAACCAGCCAUCCCGCGUGCAGGAUGAAAGCCCUAUGGGUUGUAAACUGCUUUUAGCAGAGAAGAAAAGCUUUCAUUAAUGAGAGUCUGACGGUAUCUGCAGAAUAAGCACCGGCUAACCCCGUUCCAGCAGCCGCGGUAAUACGGAGGGUGCGGGAGUUACCCGGAAUUACUGGGUUGAAGGGGUGCGAUUAAGGAGGUUGUGAAAUCUUGUCGCUUAACGAUAAAAUUGCCAAUGAUACUGGUACUCUUGAAUUGGGUUGAGGUUAGCGGAAUGUGACAUGUAGCGGUGAAAUGCAUAGAUAUGUCAUGGAACACCAAUUGCGAAGGCAGCUAACUGGGCCUUGAUUGACGCUGAGGCACGAAAGCGUGGGUAGCGAACAGGAUUAGAUACCCUGGUAGUC